UUCGUCAGAAUGACACCCGUGGUCUGAGGAGCAAAACUAUGAUCUGCCUGAAAACAUCCAGACUGGCUCUGGAGCUAACCCAACCUCGAUCCAAUGGCUACCAGGGGCUAUUUCCCUUUGAGUAAAGCAGAUGGAAUGUUAAGCUGGUCACUCACAUCCAUCUCAUGCCAAGAUCAAGAAUGGUAGACUAUACCUCCACUCCAUCUUCAUGAUAACGAGUUUUAGACAAAUGUAUCCAGCAAGAUCUUUCACUGCAGAAUCCAUGCUGCUGUUCUCCAUUUUUAUGAAUGUAUGAAAACUAUCAGAAUGCUGUUGCUGAUACAGAAGCUGACGUUGGGAAAGGAAGGUGAAGGAUGAUGCAGAUUGGUUGUAAGAGGCACAGUCUCCAGAAGGACAGGUCAAGUCAUCAGGCACAAUGGAUUCAGUGUUAUGCAUACUCCAUGGCUGCAAUGUUGGCAAGCUCCUGUUUGUUUUCUCAAACAAGAAGGAACACCGAAUCAGUUAAACAAUACAUAUACACAAUACACAAUAUGUAACAAUGUUAGAAAACUUUCAAGUAAAAGUGGCUUUGUACAAGUGCUGAUUACAUUACUAAAUCAGCCUCAUUGAGUAGUCUGGCUCAAUUGUGCACAAUUCUGGAACUGCACUGUAUAACAGUGGGCAAUACAUUAAUUGAUAAUGGUGGACUCAAAGACACGCAUGUCACAUGGAAUAAACCAAAACUCCUACUUUACAUUUUGGAAAUGACCUAAACUGAAUGUAAAAUGAAGGAAAUGAAUAAAAUCAAGAAACAGAAAUUUAUCAAGGAUAUGAAAACAAAUACAUGUAUAGGGAUUAAAAGUGUCAAACUAAUGAAGUGCAGUAACAAAAUGGAACUGGGCCCUUCUUGAGAAGCUGCCAGUUUUGCAGCUAUUCAAGAAUUU
Long non-coding RNA from Cryptotermes secundus, 923 nucleotides. RefSeq lists it as uncharacterized. NCBI's taxonomy places the organism in Eukaryota, Metazoa, Arthropoda, Insecta, Blattodea, Kalotermitidae. The transcript has 4 exons. The record is from RefSeq and is a predicted model, not a curated record.